This 75-nucleotide transfer RNA is filed under the name Chloroflexota bacterium. RNAcentral describes it as "Chloroflexi bacterium tRNA-Lys". It matches the Rfam family "tRNA". From Rfam's summary of the family: Transfer RNA (tRNA) molecules are approximately 80 nucleotides in length. Their secondary structure includes four short double-helical elements and three loops (D, anti-codon, and T loops). Lineage: Bacteria; Bacillati; Chloroflexota. RNAcentral also lists the same sequence under 1 other name. The record is from RNAcentral.
GCGCUGCUAGCUCAAUGGUAGAGCAACUGACUCUUAAUCAGUGUGUUGAUGGUUCGAGUCCAUCGCGGCGCACCA